This 253-nucleotide ribosomal RNA is filed under the name uncultured bacterium. Its description in RNAcentral is "partial 16S ribosomal RNA". It matches the Rfam family "Bacterial small subunit ribosomal RNA", at positions 524 to 776 of the family's 1533-position model. The record is from RNAcentral.
UACGUAGGGUGCGAGCGUUAAUCGGAAUUACUGGGCGUAAAGCGUGCGCAGGCGGUUUUGUAAGCCAGAUGUGAAAGCCCCGGGCUUAACCUGGGAAUGGCAUUUGGGACUGCAAGGCUUGAGUGCGGCAGAGGAGACUGGAAUUCCUGGUGUAGCAGUGAAAUGCGUAGAGAUGCGGAGGAACACCGAUGGCGAAGGCAGCCCCCUGGGCCAGCACUGACGCUCAGGCACGAAAGCGUGGGGAGCAAACAGG